RNAcentral lists this non-coding RNA (27 nucleotides) under Bombyx mori (domestic silkworm). Lineage: Eukaryota; Metazoa; Arthropoda; Insecta; Lepidoptera; Bombycidae. The record is from RNAcentral.
AGAAUAGUGAGAAACGAUUGUAUGUGG